RNAcentral lists this ribosomal RNA (904 nucleotides) under uncultured bacterium. RNAcentral's name for it is "bacterial SSU rRNA". It matches the Rfam family "Bacterial small subunit ribosomal RNA", at positions 11 to 947 of the family's 1533-position model. The record is from RNAcentral.
GUUUGAUCCUGGCUCAGGAUAAACGCUGGCGGCGUGCCUAAAACAUGCAAGUCGAACGGCUCACUUCGGUGGGUAGUGGCGAACGGCUGAGUAACACGUGGGUGACCUGCCUUCGAACGGGGGAUAACUGCCCGAAAGGGUGGCUAAUACCGCAGAUGUCUGUGCUUCGGUGUGCAGACUGAACUUGAGGGGUUCGGAGAGGGGCCUGCGUCCGAUUAGCUAGCUGGUGGGGUAACGGCCUACCAGGGCGACGAUCGGUAGCUGGUCUGAGAGGAUGAUCAGCCAGACUGGGACUGCGAACGGCCCAGACUCCUACGGGAGGCAGCAGUUAGGAAUUUUGGGCAAUGGGCGAAAGCCUGACCCAGCAACGCCGCGUGGGUGAUGAAGGCCCUCGGGUCGUAAAGCCCUUUUCCAGGGGAAGAUAGUGACGGUACCCUGGGAAUCAGCCCCGGCUAACUACGUGCCAGCAGCCGCGGUAAUACGUAGGGGGCAAGCGUUGUCCGGAUUUAUUGGGCGUAAAGCGCUCGCAGGUGGUUCGUUGCGUCGUGCGUGAAAGACCCCGGCUCAACUGGGGGGCGUCGUGCGAUACGGGCGGACUAGAGGCCAGUAGGGGGAUGCGGAAUUCCGGGUGUAGUGGUGGAAUGCGUAGAGAUCCGGAGGAACACCAGCGGCGAAGGCGGCAUCCUGGACUGGUCCUGACACUCAGGAGCGAAAGCGUGGGGAGCGAUCCGGAUUAGAUACCCGGGUAGUCCACGCUGUAAACGAUGAGUACUAGGUGUUGGGGGUAUCGACCCCCUCAGUGCCGAAGCAAACGCGAUAAGUACUCCGCCUGGGGACUACGGCCGCAAGGCUAAAACUCAAAGGAAUUGACGGGGGCCCGCACAAGCAGCGGAGCGUGUGGUUU